UAAUACAUAGGGUGCAAGCGUUGCCCGGAAUUAUUGGGCGUAAAGAGCUCGUAGGUCGUUUGUCGCGUCGAUUGUGAAAAUCUGAGGCUCAACCUCAGACCUGCAGUCGAUACGGGCAAACUAGAGUGUGGUAGGGGAGACUGGAAUUCCUGGUGUAGCGGUGGAAUGCGCAGAUAUCAGGAGGAACACCAAUGGCGAAGGCAGGUCUCUGGGCCAUAACUGACACUGAGGAGCGAAAGUGCGGGGAGCGAACAGGAUUAGAUACCCUGGUAGUCCGCACCGUAAACGGUGGGCACUAGUUGUGGGAACCUUCCACGGUUUCCGCGACGCAGCAAACGCAUUAAGUGCCCCGCCUGGGGAGUACGAUCGCAAGAUUAAAACUCAAAGGAAUUGACGGGGGCCCGCACAAGCGGUGGAUUAUGUGGUUUAAUUCGAUGAUACGCGAGGAACCUUACCAAGACUUAAAUGGGAAUUGACAGGUUUAGAAAUAGAUC
Molecule: ribosomal RNA, 494 nt
Filed under: uncultured Ruania sp.
Lineage: Bacteria; Bacillati; Actinomycetota; Actinomycetes; Micrococcales; Ruaniaceae
Description: bacterial SSU rRNA
Rfam family: Bacterial small subunit ribosomal RNA
Source: RNAcentral